Long non-coding RNA from Cannabis sativa, 1837 nucleotides. RefSeq lists it as uncharacterized. The record is from RefSeq and is a predicted model, not a curated record. The transcript is spliced from 2 exons. NCBI's taxonomy places the organism in Eukaryota, Viridiplantae, Streptophyta, Magnoliopsida, Rosales, Cannabaceae.
AAAAGUGUCUAUCUAACGACAUUUCUUGGUUUAACAAAAUAUACCUUAAAAAUAAAAGAAUAUUCUGUUAAAUUUAACGAUGUUAAUAGGUUUGAUCUCCCGUUAACAAAUAAACCCAAUAAUUAAACCCAAAAAAUUAAACAAUCUUUUUUAAUUAAAAAAAAUCAUUUAACCACAUAUCUCUCUAACAAACGGUAUAUUCCCAAAUUUAACAGAUAUUAAUAAUAUUAAUAAUAACACAUAUUUAGAAUUUUAACAAAAUAAGUCUCGAACUCUCCGUGUUUGAAAAAUAAAACUACAUCAUUAAUAUCUUAUAUUAUUAAUAUUAUUGUUAAAAUCCUGGUGAAGUGCGAUUAUUCUCUUCAAUUGAUUAUUCUCUAAAUAUUAGUAAAUUGUUUUUAUCGUAACCCUAACUUCUCUACACAAUCAUAAACCUAACUCCACUGAAAUCGUAAUUCUGUUGAUGAAAUUGUAAACCAACUCCCCUAAAUUAAUGAGGAUCAAAUCGCUGGGUCACCACUCUCAAUCAACCUUUCAAAGAGUCUUGAAUAAUCUAUUUUUAAGUUUUGAAGAAAUUUUCUAAGUCAAGCCCAACAACGAGAAUAUGAUAUUGCCAGGAGCACAGAAAAUGGCCUUAGUGUCGCAAGAAGGACCGCUUCAAACAUCGAGGAAUUUUUCAUCAAGGGUGAUGUGAGAUUUCUGGCUCAGCACUUAAUCAAACAUGUGUUAGGUUUUGCUAUCGCAAUAAUAAUUUCUUCAUAUAUAGUUUUAGCAUUUUUUUUUUUAAAUAGAUAUUGUUUAUUGAUUGUUGUGAGCGAUAAUUUGAUAUGCACUCUUUAAUGUAUUGUUUAUUUUCUAAUUUUUAUUCCAUUGAAAAUCAAUACAUGACUGCACGUAUCAAUCAUAUUUAUCUUUAUUGAAGCCUAUUUUUUUUUAGUGCAAAUAUAUAUGUGAUCAGUUCUAUCAUUUAAAAAAAGAUUGUUACAUAUGUGUGAUUACGACCACCAAUAUUAGUACACCAUACCUCAUUGAAAUUAUCCUACAGUUAUUAUAAAUAUUGAUUUUGUGCUAUUUUGAUCUAAUUUGUUUCUUGAGAAUGCCUUUGAAGAAUUUUACCAUCUUUUGUUUGUACAUUUACAUUUUUUAUGAUUUUUCGCCAUCAUUAAUAUGCUUUUUGACAUUUUUUGAGGCUUAAAGGUAGGUGAAUAUAUUUUGGUGGAGCACAAUACAUAAUUGACAGUGGAGCAGGUUUAUGAUUUUUUCAGUCUUGCUUGGGAUUCGUUCGACCACUUCCUAUGGCGAAAUAAUAAGGCAUUCUAUUUUUUUUUUCCUUUUGUGGGGAUGAUGAUAUGAAAAUGAGACUACAUUUCACAGAGAAAGGGAUGGUGUAAUAAUGGGUCAUGGUUAUGGUUAUUCUCUUUGAUUUUUAACAAAUAAUAAAAUAAUUAUGGAAACUUUCUUUAGAAACAUAUUAUUUAAAAAAAUUAAUAAAGAAAAAUAAAUAUUAAAAAAGAUGACUCAAUACUUGCCACAUUAUAUAAAAACAGUAGAUACUGUAUGUGCAUUCGUUUCCAAAGAGCAUUGUCUUAUAUAUUCUAUUUGUUUUACUUUAUACACAAGCAUUGAUAAAUUGGUUUAAUUAUGUACAGAAUAAUUUCUAUAUAAUCAAUUAUAUAUUCACUGUUUUUUUUUAUUAAUAUUGUUAGAGUAUGUUCUCAAAUUUUUUAAACUUUAAACUUUUUUUUUUUUUAAUUUUCAAAAGUUACAAUUUCUUAUUUUAAUUAAUUUUCAAAACAUUAAUAUUAUUCCUUUAAUACAUUUUGCCAGUUUAUAUUUA